This 253-nucleotide ribosomal RNA is filed under the name uncultured bacterium. Its description in RNAcentral is "partial 16S ribosomal RNA". It matches the Rfam family "Bacterial small subunit ribosomal RNA", at positions 524 to 776 of the family's 1533-position model. The record is from RNAcentral.
UACGUAGGGUGCAAGCGUUGUCCGGAAUUAUUGGGCGUAAAGAGCUCGUAGGCGGUUUGUCGCGUCUGCUGUGAAAACUCGAGGCUUAACCUCGGGCCUGCAGUGGGUACGGGCAGACUAGAGUGCGGUAGGGGAGACUGGAAUUCCUGGUGUAGCGGUGAAAUGCGCAGAUAUCAGGAGGAACACCGGUGGCGAAGGCGGGUCUCUGGGCCGUAACUGACGCUGAGGAGCGAAAGCAUGGGGAGCGAACAGG